RNAcentral lists this ribosomal RNA (255 nucleotides) under uncultured bacterium. Its description in RNAcentral is "partial 16S ribosomal RNA". It matches the Rfam family "Bacterial small subunit ribosomal RNA", at positions 524 to 776 of the family's 1533-position model. The record is from RNAcentral.
GACAUAGGUUGCGAACGUUAUCCGGAAUUAUUGGGCGUAAAGGAUGCGUAGAUGGCAUGACAAGUUAUCAGUGGGAAAUCGGGGCUCAACCUCGUGGAAGUUGGUAGUACUAUUAUGCUUGAGUGCAGGAGGGGUUAACGGAACUCCAUGUGGAGCGGUAAAAUGUGACGAUAUAUGGAAGAACACCGAUAAGGCGAAGGCAGUUAACUAUUCUGUUACUGACAUUGAGGCAUGAAAGCGUGGGGAGCAAAACGG